UAGGGAAUCUUCGGCAAUGGGGGGAACCCUGACCGAGCAACGCCGCGCGAGUGAAGAAGGUUUUCGGAUCGUAAAGCUCUGUUGUUAAGGAAGAACGAGUGUGAGAAUGGAAAGUUCAUACUGUGACGGUACUUAACCAGAAAGGGACGGCUAACUACGUGCCAGCAGCCGCGGUAAUACGUAGGUCCCGAGCGUUGUCCGGAUUUAUUGGGCGUAAAGCGAGCGCAGGCGGUUAGAUAAGUCUGAAGUUAAAGGCAGUGGCUCAACCAUUGUAGGCUUUGGAAACUGGUUAACUUGAGUGCAGAAGGGGAGAGUGGAAUUCCAUGUGUAGCGGUGAAAUGCGUAGAUAUAUGGAGGAACACCGGUGGCGAAAGCGGCUCUCUGGUCUGUAACUGACGCUGAGGCUAGAAAGCGUGGGGAGCGAACAAG
This 429-nucleotide ribosomal RNA is filed under the name Bacteroidota bacterium. Its description in RNAcentral is "Bacteroidetes bacterium partial 16S ribosomal RNA". It matches the Rfam family "Bacterial small subunit ribosomal RNA", at positions 355 to 776 of the family's 1533-position model. The record is from RNAcentral. Lineage: Bacteria; Pseudomonadati; Bacteroidota.